AGUGGGUGACACCACGGCAGGAGAUGGAGCCAAUGGGCGUUCGCUAAGAGCCAGAAGCUGGGGAAGGCGGAAGGCCUAGACGUGUGGAGCGCCCGUGGGUGGCGGAUAACUGGGCGAGAGAACGACGGGCUACCAGCCUACUACGAGGGGGGACUGGACGCAGCCGGGCCCCCACCGCGAGGCGGGCGGAAGGAACAGCCCGAACCCGGCAUCUGGCGGCACCUCGGGCCCUGUAGUCGUUAUUACGUCAUCAAAGCGCGCAUUAAAUCGAUCCCUUUUCAAUCCCUCUCCCGGCCGGGGUCGCACCCCGGAGACGCGCGCGCCCCGAAGGGGGAUAGGCGUUCCGCCUGGUACUCACCGUGAGGAACCUCUUGCCCCGUCUCGCCGGCUCUGCCGCUUCCUGCUCCCCCAGCUCGCCGAAAAGCGGGGCGGGCGCCGGCCAAUCGCGACUCGCAUUCCCGGCCUGCACCGCGAACCGGAAGUGACGGAGCGAUGACCUUUAGCACAACAGGACGCUUGGGACCAGCUGGCCCGGGGGGACGCUGGGAGUUGUAGUCUCCGCCAGGAAUGGCGUGGCGCGUUGCAUUCUGGGAGCUGUGGGAUGGGAUGGAGAAGCGGGGCUCCCUGGGGGCCCGUCCGCCCGCCUUGCCAGGCCCGCGCCCUUGUUCGUGCGGGAGAGCUGUGCCGGGGGAAGCGGAGCGGCGGCUAGAUGUGCCCCAGGGGCUGCUAUCUGUUCCCUAGCGAAGGUCCACGUGUCUCAUCACAGGCCACAGUCCCCGUUCUAGUCCCACUCGACCAGCCCUCCGGCCUGCUGCCGUCUCGGCCCCAUCGCUGCCCGUUUGCGUGAGCGGAGCCGAAAACCUUCCCCAUGAUAAGCAUCAUGUGACCUUCCCCCAACUGCCAUCAGCAAAAAUCCGGAGAAAGCUGUAUUCAUUUGUAUGAUGCAUUAACACUCCUGGGCAGCUGGACUCAACUGGAUCUUGGAAAUAUAUCAAUCCUCAGUAAGGAAAGAUUUUGCCUCCAGGUGCAAGAUGAUUCCGAGACUACUGAAGAAAGUAUAUGGACUGAGUGUGAUCAGCCUCUCCAAUUAAGUGGUAGAUAGCACAUGAAAAAAAUCAGUGGAGAGAGAUAUCUAUGAACAUUUAAAGCAACCUAAAUAUUCUACUUGUAUGAUAUAUGUAACAGGGAGAAAAAGUGUAACCAUGGUUCCCCUUACUUAUUUUGACGUAGCUUGCCAAAAAUUCUCUGAUCUAAGGAAAUGUGAAGAAUUAAUUAGCUGAAUUAGUGAAUUAGAAGCCCCAUUCAAUUUAUGGUCUAGAAUUUCAUGGCUACCACUUCCCAGAAGCAGUGAUUAGUAGAUUUUAAAGUCAGACUGGAGCAUUAGAUUAGCUAGUCUGACUUUCUGUAUAACACAGGCCAUAGAAUUUCACUCAGUUAUUCCUGUAGUGAGCUCAGGAACUUGUGAUAAAUCUUUUUGUUAUCUGAAAGCUCAAGAUGUGUCUCAGGCAUAUCUUGGAAUAAUUGUUUUGUGGCUGACAUGGCUUUAUUUUCAUCCCUAGUGCAAACCAGACAUAUGCUGUUAAGCAAGAGGAAAUACUUUUUUGUAAAACCCCUCAAUAACAGUUUAUAGUGAAGAGAUUCCAGGUUUCAGAUUGCAGUUUAAAUUGUUUACAGAAGGAAAUAAGAGACUUGUGUGAGCUAUGCCUCAUACAGUGUUAGUGAUGGGAGAGAGAGGAGGUCAAUCUCAGUUCACUUUCCCCUCCACCAUCUGUGCUUUCUAUUUCAGUGGAGGAGGAGAGGAGUGUAGAAUUAGUGAUAGUCAAAAUUAUGGUUACAAAAGGAAAUGUUCAGAAAAUGUUCAUUAACUUAUUUACUGAAUUGUUAAAGAAAGUUGACUAUCAUCAACCGCUACAUCUAUAAGGAAAAGGAGUCAUCAUGUUCUUUUGUUAUCUUUAGAUUUCUCAAAGGAAAUGCGUGGUUAGCACAAGAUAUGCAUUUACAUUUACGCAGUUCUUUCUGCUGUUUUUCAAACUCGGGGCGAGAUCCUGAUUUCCCAUAUACAAGUUUUACACUGGUUAACUCCACUGACAUCAGUGCAGUUACUCCCAAUUUAUACUGGUGUAAGUGAGGUCAACAUUGAGUCUUAUUAUUGUUAUUUCCUUUGGUGAGCAGUUGUGCUCACAAAACAGGGGAGGAGGAGGAGGAUGCAAUGCUAGCAUUUUUCUCCGAAGGGUGGUAUUUUCUUUUAAACAAUCCUUUUUUCUGUCCUGUCAGUCCAGAAAAAGAUAAAAAGGCUCAGAACAUGUAAAUACUGUACAACCAUGAGACCAUUAAAAAAGGAACAAUGCAAUGUUUUAGUGUUUGAAAAGUGCUGUCUGCAGCCUGAUGAGUUGAAGCCAUUGUAAGUGCUAAACAUUUCGAU
This is a non-coding RNA of Chrysemys picta bellii (western painted turtle), 2422 nucleotides long. The record is from RefSeq and is a predicted model, not a curated record. NCBI's taxonomy places the organism in Eukaryota, Metazoa, Chordata, Testudines, Emydidae.